This 226-nucleotide long non-coding RNA is filed under the name Mola mola (ocean sunfish). RNAcentral's name for it is "HOX antisense intergenic RNA myeloid 1 conserved region 2 (ENSMMOG00000000462.1)". It matches the Rfam family "HOX antisense intergenic RNA myeloid 1 conserved region 2". Lineage: Eukaryota; Metazoa; Chordata; Actinopteri; Tetraodontiformes; Molidae. The record is from RNAcentral.
GCUACUGUCGCCGGGCGAGAGACGUGUUUAAACAGGCUAUAAAAAUGAAUUAUUACCAAACGCACGCAGAGACUCGGCCCCCUUUUAGUUCAGGAAUUGAGGAGUCCCCGUAUGAAAAUGUAAGUGGGGUUUUAUUUGUGCACAUUACGCCACAAUUGGUCCCUUUAAUGUCCGUCUCAUUCAUGCCACGGAGUGAUUUAUGAGCUCCUGAAGGCAAACAUGGCCC